This is a non-coding RNA of Parelaphostrongylus tenuis, 73 nucleotides long. Lineage: Eukaryota; Metazoa; Nematoda; Chromadorea; Rhabditida; Metastrongylidae. The record is from the annotation of a GenBank genome assembly.
GUGUCGGUGGUGUAACGGCUUAGCACAUGCUUGCGGAAAGAGUAAGAUCUGAGUUCGAAUCCCGGCUGACGCA